This is a long non-coding RNA of Chinchilla lanigera (long-tailed chinchilla), 1076 nucleotides long. RefSeq lists it as uncharacterized. Lineage: Eukaryota; Metazoa; Chordata; Mammalia; Rodentia; Chinchillidae. The transcript is spliced from 4 exons. The record is from RefSeq and is a predicted model, not a curated record.
UGUAUCACAGUGAUGUUCCUGUAAGUAAAGUACUUUCCAAUCAAUCAUUCUUGGAAUAAUGGAACAGUUCUCAUUGAUACAACAUGAUGGUUUUAACCUUUCACUGAAAAUUAUUUUUGUGCCGAAAGGGGUGAUGGUAUAAUUCAUCUUCCUUCAUACAGUUACCCAUGUGGCUACUAUUUAUUGCCUUCUCAGAACGAUUUCCUCUUAAGGAAGAGCUGCUUCAUGGAUGUGGUGUUUGGAAAUUCCUGCUUGCCUGAGGUCCCUCACUCCAGGGUUCUGAGACGUUCUGGUCUGUGGUCCGUGGGGAGGCUGCUGGUUACCAGUGCAGUGCAAGGACAGCAAAACCUACACCUGCGCCUUCUGUGGGGUGCGUGGGGCAGUGUGGAGGCAGUAGGCGCUUUAUGAGGUGUGAUCAAAAACAUGGUGAAUGUUGCUGCCAAGUGGCCUUGCAUGGAAAGGCAGGCUCAUAAAAACAGGGUGCGUCCUCACCCACCUCGUUCACUGGAUCUGGCACUGUGUGACUUCUGAUUCUUCCCCAAAGUCAAAACGACCUUGAAAGGUAAACUUUAAUCAAUUUAGGACACUGAGGCAGCUAUGACAGUGCAACUAAUGACACUCAUGGGAACGUCAGACUUCUAGAGCAACUUCCGAAAGUGGCAAGAGCAACAGUUGCUCUUUCACUCUUGGAUCUUGAGCCAGGUCUAUACUGUGACAAAGAAGGGAGGUGCGGAGCAGUUGUUCUGGGAUUGUAACUGUCCUAAAAGCUGGUGUGGAUGGUUCACAGCGAACUACACAUGACUUGGCUUCAGUACCUGGCCGAAGACACCCACCAGUUGUCAUGACAGCACACACCAGACCAUGAAAGGAAUAAAAAGAGGUGGCAGCCACCUGUGGGAGACCUCUGCUUGUUCCGCGGAAGUCCUGAAUACUCUUUCCCCUUAUUAGCCUGUCUCUCUCCCUCAGUAUUCCUAUCUGACCCUGCUAAUUCCCCAGCUGUGGGAUAGAGAAGCUGAUGUGUGCGGGAGGCUCCCGCUUCUCACUCUUCGGUCACUGAAUAAACUUGUGUUUCAACA